GUGUGGGUUGGUUGUUGAUGGAGAGUUUGAUCCUGGCUCAGGACGAACGCUGGCGGCGUGCUUAACACAUGCAAGUCGAACGGAAAGGCCUGCUUUCCCUUGUGGAUUGCGGGUACUCGAGUGGCGAACGGGUGAGUAACACGUGAGUGAUCUGCCCCCAACUUGGGUAUAAGCCUGGGAAACUGGGUCUAAUUCCCGAUAGGACUGCAGGGUGGUGCCUGUGGUGGAAAACGAUUUUCUAGUGGUUGGGGAUGAGCUCGCGGCCUAUCAGCUUGUUGGUGGGGUAAUGGCCUACCAAGGCGGCGACGGGUAGCCGGCCUGAGAGGGUGGACGGCCACAUUGGGACUGAGAUACGGCCCAGACUCCUACGGGAGGCAGCAGUGGGGAAUAUUGCACAAUGGGCGGAAGCCUGAUGCAGCGACGCCGCGUGGGGGAUGACGGCCUUCGGGUUGUAAACUCCUUUCGACCGCGAGGAAGCCGCCUGGUUGGAAGGGUGGUGACGGUAGUGGUAGAAGAAGCACCGGCUAACUACGUGCCAGCAGCCGCGGUAAUACGUAGGGUGCGAGCGUUGUCCGGAUUUACUGGGCGUAAAGAGCUCGUAGGUGGCUUGUCGCGUCGUCUGUGAAAGUCUGGGGCUUAACUCCGGGUGUGCAGGCGAUACGGGCUGGCUUGAGUGCUGUAGGGGAGACUGGAAUUCCUGGUGUAGCGGUGGAAUGCGCAGAUAUCAGGAGGAACACCGAUGGCGAAGGCAGGUCUCUGGGCAGUCACUGACGCUGAGGAGCGAGAGCAUGGGUAGCGAACAGGAUUAGAUACCCUGGUAGUCCAUGCUGUAAACGGUGGGCGCUAGGUGUGGGGACUUUCCAUGGUUUCCGUGUCGUAGCUAACGCGUUAAGCGCCCCGCCUGGGGAGUACGGCCGCAAGGCUAAAACUCAAAGGAAUUGACGGGGGCCCGCACAAGCGGCGGAGCAUGUGGAUUAAUUCGAUGCAACGCGAAGAACCUUACCUGGGUUUGACAUGCACUAGAUGAGGCGAGAGAUCGUCUGUCCCUUUGUGGCUGGUGUGCAGGUGGUGCAUGGUUGUCGUCAGCUCGUGUCGUGAGAUGUUGGGUUAAGUCCCGCAACGAGCGUAACCCUUGUCUUAUGUUGCCAGCACGUUGUGGUGGGGACUCGUGAGAGACUGCCGGGGUGAACUCGGAGGAAGGUGGGGAUGACGUCAAAUCAUCAUGCCCCUUAUGUCCAGGGCUUCACACAUGCUACAAUGGCCGGUACAGUAGGUUGCGAGACCGUGAGGUGGAGCUAAUCCUUUAAAGCUGGUCGUAGUUCGGAUUGGGGUCUGCAACUCGACCCCAUGAAGUCGGAGUCGCUAGUAAUCGCAGAUCAGCAACGCUGCGGUGAAUACGUUCCCGGGCCUUGUACACACCGCCCGUCACGUCAUGAAAGUUGGUAACACCCGAAGCCGCCGUCUCCACCCUUGUGGUGGUGUGGUGUCGAAGGUGGGAUCGGCGAUUGGGACGAAGUCGUAACAAGGUAGCCGUACCGGAAGGUGCGGCUGGAUCACCUCCUUUCUAAGGAG
Molecule: ribosomal RNA, 1572 nt
Filed under: Corynebacterium otitidis
Lineage: Bacteria; Bacillati; Actinomycetota; Actinomycetes; Mycobacteriales; Corynebacteriaceae
Description: bacterial SSU rRNA
Rfam family: Bacterial small subunit ribosomal RNA
Source: RNAcentral